GAUGAACGCUAGCGGCAGGCCUAAUACAUGCGAGUCGAACGGGAUCCAGAUCAAAGCUUGCUUUGGUCUGGUGAGAGUGGCGCACGGGUGCGUAACGCGUGAGCAACCUACCCUUGUCAGGGGGAUAGCCCGGCGAAAGUCGGAUUAAUACCGCAUGACAUCAUUGAGAGGCAUCUUUCGAUGAUCAAAUAUUUAUCGGACAAGGAUGGGCUCGCGUGACAUUAGCUAGUUGGUAAGGUAACGGCUUACCAAGGAUGCGAUGUCUAGGGGCUCUGAGAGGAGACUCCCCCACAAUGGUACUGAGACACGGACCAGACUCGUACGGGAGGCAGCAGUAAGGAAUAGUGGUCAAUGGACGGAAGUCUGAACCAGCCAUGCCGCGUGCAGGAAGACGGCCCUAUGGGUUGUAAACUGCUUUUAUACGGGAACAAACGUCGGUACGUGUACCGGUCUGAGUGUACCGUAAGAAUAAGGAUCGGCUAACUCCGUG
This 490-nucleotide ribosomal RNA is filed under the name uncultured bacterium. Its description in RNAcentral is "partial 16S ribosomal RNA". It matches the Rfam family "Bacterial small subunit ribosomal RNA", at positions 28 to 507 of the family's 1533-position model. The record is from RNAcentral.